Molecule: microRNA precursor, 87 nt
Filed under: Canis lupus familiaris (dog)
Lineage: Eukaryota; Metazoa; Chordata; Mammalia; Carnivora; Canidae
Also listed under: 1 other name
Description: mir-8799 microRNA precursor family
Rfam family: mir-8799 microRNA precursor family
Source: Rfam by way of RNAcentral
GGGGGGAGGCCGGAUCCUGGGCUGUGUCCCUGCGCCCUGUGCUCGGGCCUGCGCUGUUGGAUUUACGCUCCCGCCCCGCAGCCCCCU